This 498-nucleotide ribosomal RNA is filed under the name Triticum aestivum (bread wheat). RNAcentral's name for it is "partial small subunit ribosomal RNA". The record is from RNAcentral. Lineage: Eukaryota; Viridiplantae; Streptophyta; Magnoliopsida; Poales; Poaceae.
AUGGACGACUCGCGCCUAUUCAUGCAGUGGGCGGUGAGCACACUGCAGCAGCAGGAUCCAGGAGGAGCCGGCGGCGGCAGCGAGAAGAGCGCCGGCUUCCCGUGUCUCCAGGCGCUCCGCGAUUCCUCGGAGCUGACGGAAGCACAGAACAGUCUGAGCUCCGGCGACGACACCGGCGGCGGUGGAGGAAUCAUCACCCCAGCCCCCGAUUUGGCUGUGCACCAAGGCAGUUGGUCCAUGUCGUCCCCGACCUCGGGCGGGCCGUUCGCGCCCAGCAGCAUGAGCGGCACCAGCACCAGCAACGCCCUGAGGGCCUCCACAAAGAGCACGCCAUACGCGCAAGACCACAUCAUGGCGGAGAGGAAGCGCCGGGAGAAGAUCAACCAGCGCUUCAUCGAGCUCUCCGCCGUCAUUCCCGGCCUCAAGAAGAUGGACAAGGGGACGAUUCUUGCCGACGCGACCAGAUACGUGAAGGAGCUCCAAGAGAGGGUCAAGUAA